CUCAGGGAGUCCAAUUAGCAAGCCAUCGCCCUAAUGCCACUGUGAACUCACAAUGGCUGGGCUGGUGGAAGAGCACGGAUGAAAGAAGGGAUGGCAGUGUUGGUUCAGCAUUGGAAGAGCCACCCCCAAAAGUCAUCAUUUAAACAGAGGAAAGGAAAAAGCCAUAUGAUCCUGUCACUAGUUGGAGAAAAAGUAUUGGACUAAAUUCUACAGCUGUUCAUGGUAAAAGCUAUCAGGAGUCUAGAAGUAGAACAGAAACUUCUCAACUGAUUGAAGACAUGUACUCCAUACUUCCAGCAAGAAUGCCUUAUAUGAAUGGAGAAGAUACAAUGCUUUCUUCUUAAGCUCUUCAAGGAGAACACAGUGCAUUGUUGGAUCAUGGCUGACAUCAGGCCUUCCUGGUCAUCGAGGAAGAGUUGCUUGCUGCUCCUGCUCCGGGUCUCCAAGAAAUUGGAAAGCCCUUGAUCUAUUUCCACAAAGGACAAGGAGUAAAACCCAGAGUAUUACCCCAAACUGAGCUCGAAGGUCACUCUCACUGAAACCCGACUCUACACAUGGGCCUGUGCAGGUGUUUGAUGGGUGAGCUUUCAACGUCAGAGGACCCAAAGCUCCACCCUGAAGUCACAUCGAUGCUACCACUUCCUGAAUGCUUCCCAAGAAGAAUUAUGAAAAUUGAUUAUUUAUACAAAAACUACCAAGCACUUCACCUCCAAUCACCUCUCCCCAGGCUUCAAUCACCCCACUUCCCACCAGUACCCAUCGAUGUUACCUGCAGUCUCCUGUCACCUCACAUGUGACCAGCUCAUAAGGAAACUGUCACUCUUUGGCAAAAUUAUUGUUUUAGUGACAGGCAGACUGCACAGCAGGCAAAACGGGCAUGGGUCCAUAAUGUUGGCUUCUGUAAAUAUGGGGCAGUCACUGUUUUCAUGACAUAAAAGGGAGGUCAUGGGUGGAGGACACAGGGCUGUGGCUUGGGAGGCUGAGUGUCCAACCUGGCCUCAUGCAAAUCAGUGUCCUGUGGAAGGGCAACUCAGCGAGAAAAUGAGGGUGGUCAGCUGGGUUUCCUCCCUCCCUAAGAGCCUCAAUUUAAAAUGCCCAAACUCUAAAAGUGAAUUCAGUCCCUUUGAAGAGUUACCCUCAAAUAAAAUAUUAACUUGUAAGUAAAAAUGACUCAUUUCUUCUCAGUGUAAUACUCUGAUGAAAUACUCACUUUAAUCUUAAUUUGCCC
RNAcentral lists this long non-coding RNA (1228 nucleotides) under Heterocephalus glaber (naked mole-rat). Its description in RNAcentral is "lncRNA (ENSHGLG00100045057.1)". The record is from RNAcentral. Lineage: Eukaryota; Metazoa; Chordata; Mammalia; Rodentia; Bathyergidae.